UACGUAGGGGGCAAGCGUUGUCCGGAUUUAUUGGGCGUAAAGAGCGUGUAGGCGGCCAUACAGGUCCGUUGUGAAAACUCGAGGCUCAACCUCGAGAUGUCGGCGGAAACCGUCUGGCUAGAGUCCGGAAGAGGAGAGUGGAAUUCCUGGUGUAGCGGUGAAAUGCGCAGAUAUCAGGAAGAACACCUAUGGCGAAGGCAGCUCUCUGGGACGGUACUGACGCUGAGACGCGAAAGCGUGGGGAGCGAACAGG
RNAcentral lists this ribosomal RNA (253 nucleotides) under uncultured bacterium. RNAcentral's name for it is "partial 16S ribosomal RNA". It matches the Rfam family "Bacterial small subunit ribosomal RNA", at positions 524 to 776 of the family's 1533-position model. The record is from RNAcentral.